CAGUGGUGAAAAAUAGGAAAACAACCACAACGAAAUCUGACAAAGUUACUGCCACGAGAUCUAAAAGGGGAUGAUGAGCGUGUUGUUAGUCUCAACUAUUAGUGUCUCAUGACCCAUUAAGAGAUGAAAAUUUUGCUACUAUGUCGUGGUUUGCUCGCUAAACAUCACAAAUAUGAGUUUAGCAUCCCGAAAGGGUCACAUAAUCUA
This 207-nucleotide long non-coding RNA is filed under the name Gossypium barbadense (sea-island cotton). RNAcentral describes it as "long non-coding RNA (GBAR_LNC020978)". The record is from RNAcentral. Lineage: Eukaryota; Viridiplantae; Streptophyta; Magnoliopsida; Malvales; Malvaceae.